CCUACGGGAGGCAGCAGUGGGGAAUUUUGGACAAUGGGCGCAAGCCUGAUCCAGCAAUGCCGCGUGAGUGAAGAAGGCCUUCGGGUUGUAAAGCUCUUUUGUCAGGGAAGAAACGGUGGGGGCUAAUAUCCUUUGCUAAUGACGGUACCUGAAGAAUAAGCACCGGCUAACUACGUGCCAGCAGCCGCGGUAAUACGUAGGGUGCAAGCGUUAAUCGGAAUUACUGGGCGUAAAGCGUGCGCAGGCGGUUUUGUAAGUUUGUCGUGAAAUCCCCGGGCUCAACCUGGGAAUGGCGAUGAAGACUGCAAGGCUAGAAUCUGGCAGAGGGGGGGUAGAAUUCCACGUGUAGCAGUGAAAUGCGUAGAGAUGUGGAGGAACACCGAUGGCGAAGGCAGCCCCCUGGGUCAAGAUUGACGCUCAUGCACGAAAGCGUGGGGAGCAAACAGGAUUAGAUACCCUGGUAGUCCACGCCCUAAACGAUGUCUACUAGUUGUCGGGUUUUAAUUAACUUGGUAACGCAGCUAACGCGUGAAGUAGACCGCCUGGGGGAGGUACGGUCGCGAGAAUUAAACUACAANAGAGUAGACGGCGUGAGACGUGCCGACGGACGACGACCGAGGGAGGUUAGG
Molecule: ribosomal RNA, 629 nt
Filed under: uncultured bacterium
Lineage: Bacteria
Description: bacterial SSU rRNA
Rfam family: Bacterial small subunit ribosomal RNA
Source: RNAcentral